Molecule: non-coding RNA, 1109 nt
Organism: Thamnophis sirtalis
Lineage: Eukaryota; Metazoa; Chordata; Lepidosauria; Squamata; Natricidae
Source: RefSeq, a predicted model, not a curated record
GACUAGAUUUAUAGAACAUACUGUAUGUGGUGAUUAACUAUGAUUAAUUGAAAGCUAUAACCCCGGGGAGUCCAAAGGAGUUGAAGCCCACAAGUCUUAAAGUUCCCAAGUCAGGACACCUCUGGUAUAACCCCUCUAUAUGUUGUUUGAUGGCUGGGAGGACUUUCCCCUGGAAAGACACUACGCACUGAAUAUCAAAGUACUGGAUAGAACAAUAAACCGGCAGUCCCACUACCAAUAUAUUUUGAUUUCUGUUUUCCAUACAUGCCACUGGCAUGGAGUCUCUUGGUUAUGGGAAACUAGAGAGAGAACCCGGAAGGUAGCUAUUGAGAAAUGAUGUCAAUAUUAGCCCUUUUUUCUAUUUUUGGAACUGAACACAAUGACGACUUGAUGUGCAAGCUACCAGCAUUAUCUGAUUACUGGAUAAACCUUCACAGAACUUGCUGUAGUCCCAGAUGUUCCCUUGGAUGUCAAGCCUAUUAAUCAGAAAGCAAGAAUGAAUUUGGAACUUCUCUGACAUCUUAUAUGAGUUGGAAAUAAAAUCAUUGAGAGGUAGUAAAGGAACUUCAAGAAAGCAGAACGACCUGCUCAGCCAUAAAGAAGCUUGCUAAGCUCUCACACGCCUUCAGGGAACAUUAGUGGACUAUCGACUUAAGUUGGGCUGAUGUAAGAUGGAAUAUUUAUUGCCUUAUGAAGGCUGCGCAUAAAAACAACAGCAGAAAUCAAGAGGGCAAAGUUCUCCCUCCUCUAGGCCAUCAUGAUGCAACACUUUGAGGAGAUGCUCCUUUUCAGAAAUGGCCAGGAAGCUGAUGCAAAUGAUCCCUGGCACUGCACAACAAGAAAAAGAAUGGGCUAAUUUAGUUGUCGCCACCACUUAGAACAUCUCUAAAUGAAUAGCUGCCACUAAGUGUAUUAAAUUAUAGCUGACGAUUAGCCUCUCUCAUAAUGACUGCCUCAUUGUUUUAUGUUUCACAACCCACCUGGCAUUUUUCACAUAAAACACCAAGACACACACACACACACACACACAUGCAGAUUGAGGCCAGAGGUUGACUUCUAACCAUCCCAUUAAAAGUUUUUGCUGAUAUUUUUAUGUCAGAGUAGUUUAU